RNAcentral lists this non-coding RNA (28 nucleotides) under Mus musculus (house mouse). Lineage: Eukaryota; Metazoa; Chordata; Mammalia; Rodentia; Muridae. The record is from RNAcentral.
UCCCAGUGGACACCACUUCAUCCACAGC